AGCGCAUGUCUUAUCAAGGAAUAUCAGAUACACGAGUUGUCUAGCAUUGUGUUCUUCUUAAUUGUGUUGCAGUUGUUAAGUAACUGGUUCAAAGUUCACGCGCACACAUUUACUGCACAGAACCACCGUCCAUCCAAGAACAAGUCCGGUACUCGGCAGAGAUAUUUAUACGGACAAGGAAUGUUAGCGCGCAAAGCUCCCUUACCUAUUGUCAGGUCUCUUCCUGACUGGAACGUUAUACACCCUAUCCUUGUACCAGAGCACCAAAGCCAAAGGAUUAUUCACUUUUGUCGUAGACGGUCUCAGGAGAAAGUAUCCGUCUUGAGGAUUACUAUUUCACGAAUCAAUAAAAUCACUGGUCCGGAAAAUCUUCGAGUUAUCCAGAAUAGAGUCCUCUGAUAAAUCGUGGAUCACGACUGGAUCGGAUCACGAUUCGAAGGUGUGUCUCGGGAAGAUGAUUCGUAGAGAAGAACCGUUAGACCGUGACACGGAGCUUCGGGAUUCUACUUGGUCACGGGAACAAGUUCACGCUGUUCCACCAUUUUUCACGAAGAAAUAAGACACGUCUGAUAUUUCGUUCUCUUACCAUAUCAAUGGACGCGUGAGAUCACUCUUCCACAACGCCAGCUUCCCUUCCGUCAAGUGCUGGAAUAAUUACAAUUAAUUAAGAAGAGUAUAAGAGAGCACGCGCCGGUUGGAAACGAAAUAACGACACGAAUUAUGAAUGAAACCGCUCGACGCUCGCUGCAUUGUACACGCAUUUUCUCUUUAUUCAACAGGCUAGAUAUUUCUUUUUCUUUGCAUUGUACGAUUUAAAAAAAAAGUGUAAACUAAUAUUCGAGUUUCUAUUAAUUGGAGUAUUAAUUGGCGAAACGCGAAACACCUACAGUAUAUGGUAAAAAAUUAAUUACAGAUGAUCUUUUGAUAUCGAGAUAUCGAGAUUUGUUAAUGUAGCGAAUAAUUUGAAAUUUAAAUAUCUAUAUGUAUCUGUAUCUAUAUAAUAUGUAUAUACCUGUGUCAAAUAUCUUGCAAUUUCUAAAUGUAUACAUGUACAUCCAGAUUUAUUUCAAACUUUGGUAAUAUGAUCAUGACAGACAUGAUGAAGUUUCAAAAUGUUUAAAAAACGUACAUGUGCAAUAUAUUCGUAAAAUAUUUUUACAAGUCAACCACUACAAAUGUCUUUCGCUUAUUUUUUUCAACAAUCGUCUCUAUGAAAAAAAGUUUUGGUGAUAUCUUCUUUAUUUGCAUUUUACUGAGACGCGAUAAUCUUAAUCGAUUAAAAGUUAAUUUGAUUUGAGGAUUUAAAAGUUCGUGAUAAACGAACUCAUUAUGUUUAUAAACGUUUAUACAUCAAUCCGUAUAAGUAGUUAUCGAUGUACCAUUGUAUCAACGUAGCUAUAGAUGGCACAGAUGUUAAUCAACGAGGCGUGAAUGAAAAGAAAAGAAAAGAAACUGUAUAGGAAGACCUUCCUUACCAGCAGCUCGUCGCCAUCGACCUGCCGUUUUGUGAUGGCUUUACAGCACUCCUGCAGGCCAUUCUGCAAAAACAAGGAUAACUCGUUCUAUCAAACAGAACGUGCAUCGCUGAUAAAGCGAUAAGCAGCACACAUGUAUCUUGUGCAAAUAUUUACAUCGCGACGAUAAAGCAAACCAGUUAAAUAUACAGAGCGUAUCCUCUUUUUUCAUUUUCUUAAACCACCAUUUUUCACAUAUUUCCGAUAAUAUAUCAAGGAAAUGUUUACAAAAUGUUUGCAAAAAUUAGUCAGUUUUCCGUCUGUUACACAUUUUCAAAAUUUCUUUUUUCGAGAAAAAGUCAAGGCCACCUUUCUUCAAAUCUAAAAUAUAUGAUGCCAUUUUAAAAGGGUCAAGGUGAUUGACCUUGAUUUUUUAUUGAAACAAACAUUUUUGAAGAAUUGUUAAUAACCAAAUGUGUGACAGAUCGGAAACUGACUAUCUUUUCUUCAAAACAUUUCUUUACAAAUGAACAGAAUAUGAACAGAAUAAUGAACAGAAAUAGCUGAAAAAUAUUUAAUCUUAUAAUUAGAGGAUGCACUCUAUAUGCAAACUAUCGUUACUUUAUUGUUUGUGCGUUAUUGUACUACUGUUUGAAUUGACUAAAAUCGAUACGACAUAUUUCUCAGAAUUUUACCAAGUUUAGUCUUGUACACGUGUAUAUGACAGCUUAAAUUCUUCGAUCAUGUUAAUUCUAGCGUUGCAUCUAUUGAAUCUUCUAUUGAAAUAAACGCGUGUCCUACGUUGUCUGGCUUCAGCUUUUGAAUUUAUCGCGCGAAGUUCAAUGAAAUAUAAUAUAAUAGAUACGUGUACGCGAUGUUCGUUCUAUUAAUUUCCUUCGUUUUCCUCGUAAGUGAUACAUUUUUGAGAAAGUUAGAGAAAGCAAGUUUCACUACUUUUUGUACGUGAUACGACGAAUAGAUUUUUUAAUAUCCUAUUAUUUUCAUGCAAUAGAAAAACCAUAAAUAUUUUAAAAUUGACAA
This is a long non-coding RNA of Bombus terrestris (buff-tailed bumblebee), 2495 nucleotides long. RefSeq lists it as uncharacterized. The transcript has 3 exons. The record is from RefSeq and is a predicted model, not a curated record. NCBI's taxonomy places the organism in Eukaryota, Metazoa, Arthropoda, Insecta, Hymenoptera, Apidae.